GAUGAAGAACGUAGCAAAAUGCGAUAAGUAAUGUGAAUUGCAGAAUUCAGUGAAUCAUCGAAUCUUUGAACGCACAUUGCGCCCGCUGGUAUUCCGGCGGGCAUGCCUGUUCGAGCGUCAUUUCAACCCUCAAGCCCCCGGGUUUGGUGUUGGGGAUCGGCUCUGCCCUUCUGGGCGGUGCCGCCCCCGAAAUACAUUGGCGGUCUCGCUGCAGCCUCCAUUGCGUAGUAGCUAACACCUCGCAACUGGAACGCGGCGCGGCCAUGCCGUAAAACCCCAACUCCUGAAUGUUGACCUCGGAUCAGGUAGGAAUACCCGCUGAACUUAAGCAUAUCAAUAAGCGGAGGA
This 348-nucleotide unclassified non-coding RNA is filed under the name soil metagenome. Its description in RNAcentral is "partial contains 5.8S ribosomal RNA, internal transcribed spacer 2, and large subunit ribosomal RNA". The stretch from base 1 to 120 matches the Rfam family "5.8S ribosomal RNA", at positions 35 to 154 of the family's 154-position model. The record is from RNAcentral.